This 72-nucleotide transfer RNA is filed under the name Chelonia mydas (Green sea turtle). It matches the Rfam family "tRNA". From Rfam's summary of the family: Transfer RNA (tRNA) molecules are approximately 80 nucleotides in length. Their secondary structure includes four short double-helical elements and three loops (D, anti-codon, and T loops). Further hydrogen bonds mediate the characteristic L-shaped molecular structure. tRNAs have two regions of fundamental functional importance: the anti-codon, which is responsible for specific mRNA codon recognition, and the 3' end, to which the tRNAs corresponding amino acid is attached (by aminoacyl-tRNA synthetases). tRNAs cope with the degeneracy of the genetic code in two manners: having more than one tRNA (with a specific anti-codon) for a particular amino acid; and 'wobble' base-pairing, i.e. permitting non-standard base-pairing at the 3rd anti-codon position. Lineage: Eukaryota; Metazoa; Chordata; Testudines; Cheloniidae. The record is from Rfam by way of RNAcentral.
GGUAGUGUGGCAUAGUUGCUAAAGUACUGGACUAGGACUCAAGAGACCUGAGGUCCAUUCCUAGCUCUGCCA